Molecule: ribosomal RNA, 429 nt
Filed under: Gemmatimonadota bacterium
Lineage: Bacteria; Pseudomonadati; Gemmatimonadota
Description: Gemmatimonadetes bacterium partial 16S ribosomal RNA
Rfam family: Bacterial small subunit ribosomal RNA
Source: RNAcentral
UAGGGAAUCUUCGGCAAUGGACGAAAGUCUGACCGAGCAACGCUGCGUGAGUGAAGAAGGUUUUCGGAUCGUAAAACUCUGUUGUUAGAGAAGAACAAGGACGUUAGUAACUGAACGUCCCCUGACGGUAUCUAACCAGAAAGCCCCGGCUAACUACGUGCCAGCAGCCGCGGUAAUACGUAGGUGGCUAGCGUUGUCCGGUUUUUUUGGGCGUUAAGCGAGCGCAGGCGGUUUCUUAAGUCUGAUGUGAAAGCCCCCGGCUCAACCGGGGAGGGUCAUUGGAAACUGGGAGACAUGAGUGCAGAAGAGGAGAGUGGAAUUCGAGGUGUAGCGGUGAAAGGCGUAGAUAUAUGGAGGAACACCAGUGGCGAAGGCGGCUCUGUGGUCUGUAACUGACGCUGAGGCUCGAAAGCGUGGGGAGCAAACAGG